UACGGUGAAGCCGCGAAUAGCUCAUUACAACAGCCAUCGUUUAUUAGAAUAUCGUUAUCCUACUUGGAUAACUGUGGCAAUUCUAGAGCUAAUACAUGCAAUAAAGCUCUGCCCGCAAGGAACGAGCGCAUUUAUUAGAAUAAAAACCAAUCGGGUUUCGGCUCGUAAUUUGGUGAAUCUGAAUAACUUUGCCAAUCGCACAGUCCUAGUACUGGCGAUGUAUCUUUCAAGUGUCUGCCUUAUCAACUUUCGAUGGUACGCUAUACGCCUACCAUGGUAGUAACGGGUAACGGAGAAUAAGGGUUCGACUCCGGAGAGGGAGCCUGAGAAACGGCUACCACAUCCAAGGAAGGCAGCAGGCGCGCAAAUUACCCACUUCCAGAACGGAGAGGUAGUGACGAAAAAUAACGAGACAGUCCUCUUCGAGGUCUGUCAUCGGAAUGGGUACAAUUUAAA
This 456-nucleotide ribosomal RNA is filed under the name unidentified nematode Sourhope farm. RNAcentral's name for it is "SSU rRNA". It matches the Rfam family "Eukaryotic small subunit ribosomal RNA", at positions 77 to 529 of the family's 1831-position model. Lineage: Eukaryota; Metazoa; Nematoda. The record is from RNAcentral.